UCAAAAUAUGUACGUUUUCUUCAUAUAUCCUCGAUAAUACGGAUCGAGAGUCUCUACCGGGUCACCGUUAAAUGACCUGACUAUGAAGGCGGAAUUUUUCUGU
RNAcentral lists this non-coding RNA (103 nucleotides) under Bacillus sp. (in: firmicutes). Its description in RNAcentral is "Bacillus sp. Guanine sequence". It matches the Rfam family "Purine riboswitch aptamer". Rfam says of the family: Riboswitches are metabolite binding domains within certain messenger RNAs that serve as precision sensors for their corresponding targets. Allosteric rearrangement of mRNA structure is mediated by ligand binding, and this results in modulation of gene expression. Lineage: Bacteria; Bacillati; Bacillota; Bacilli; Caryophanales; Bacillaceae. The record is from RNAcentral.